UACAAUUUCCACCAGAUCUCUUCUCUCCAUUUCUAAAACUUUGUACGUUACCUGCCAGCGGAGGUCCGAUGAGCAGCGUGACGCUCUCCAUGAUGGCGAGCAGACCUAGAGCUGAGGGGAAGCGGCUCAUCUCCACUAUCUCCAUGAGGACAGUGAACAUCAGCGAGCCCACCACGCUCAUGGACAGCCCGUAGACCGCCACAUAAGCCAGCAGCACGGGGAAGCUGGGCCCGAUGCAGCAGAUGCUGUUACUGAGCCCGUUGACCAGCAGAGCAGCGGAAAAUACGUAAAUGUGACGCCCUUUGAACCAUGACAUGCUGAAGAGGAUGCCGAAGGGCGGCCGCACCACGAUGUUAACCAUACCCAGGAUGCCGAGCAGCAGCGCGGCCCGGCUCUGCUCCAUGUCGUUAGCUGUGGCGUAGGGAACCAGUUUCCUCCUCGGGCGGAGGGGGUCCGUGGUUCAUGAGCGGCUGGCCGCGAUGCUUGGGGGGCUGCAGGGGCCUCAUCACUGCUCCGCACACGCAGCAGUUCAGCAGGAUGGCCCCCAAAACAAGGAAACUUCCCCUCCAGCCCAGCUCUGUGUGGAGGUAGUCACCCAGGAAAGGCAGAAAGCACAGUCCCAGCGCUGUGCCCGUAGACGACAUCGCGUUGGCGAACGCACGGCGACGCACAAAGUAGUGCCCGAGGAUCGUCACCGCUGGCUGGAAGCUGAAGCAGAAACCAAGUCCUGUAACGACGGAAGAAGACAUUCAGAGUGAUACAACAUCAGAGAGAAAAAUCUUCAGCUGCCAGAUGUUCAGCUCGUCUCUGACUGCUGUUCGGUGCCGGCCAGGUAGAGCGCCGUUGUUCAUCAGGUGUCAGCUGGGGUAAUAAAUCUGCUGAGUGUUUGCUGACCUGUGAUAACCCCGGCCGUGAUGUAGAGCUGUGUGAUGGACUGGGUAAAUGAACUGGCAGCCAUUCCCAGCCCACUCAGGACGCCGCCCAACAUGACCGUCGCUCGGCAACCAAGUUUCUCCACCAGCACGCUACAUAAGGGACCUGUGGAUCAGAUGUAAUGCUCUUAGUUUAUUGCACACUGGAGCAGGAACGGACAAAAGCUCAUACAAAAGAGGCGAGGUCUCUGCUGAUGGUGUUCAGCUGUAAUCUGUACCGGAUGAAUGAAAGCGGGACUGAACAUAUGUUUGCUCUCUCUUUCUCGCACUCUGUGUGUGCACAUGGUGUUUAACUAAAGUUUAGCCGUUAGUUGACCCAUAUAACUGUGUUUUUUUUGUCACGCUAGUAUGAAAAUAAGCUGCACUGCAUGGCAAAUGUAUCGGUUGCUAUCAUCCAUCUCUCAAUUUGCCUGAAGAGAAAGUUUCACAUUCAGUAUUCUGAAGCCUCGGAGCUAAAUGCAGCGGGGUAUAUUGGUUAAAGGUCACCGAUGGGGGUGGGAAAUUCAACACGCGUCUUUGUUGUUAGGCAACAGGGCUGCAAGGUACUGACAGGGAUAAUACCUGGACCUACUGAACCUUAGCUUUCUCAGACUAAGGUUUGCAAAAGUAGCCUCAAAGAUCAAACAUUGAACUGAACUUGACUAAUGUGCAAUAAACCCCAAUAACCUUAUACAUGUAUACAGUGUCACCUCAUUGUGUCUACUUAUCUUGAUUUAUGCAUUUUACUAGUUCAAUUUUGCUAUUUUAUAUUUUUUCCAUUUGUACCAUUCGGAGAGCUGCUAAACUGUGUUUUGUUGUUGUGAAACAAUGACAAUAAAGGUCUAUUCUAUUCUACUUGUUUUAAG
Molecule: long non-coding RNA, 1777 nt
Organism: Perca flavescens (yellow perch)
Lineage: Eukaryota; Metazoa; Chordata; Actinopteri; Perciformes; Percidae
Exons: 3
Source: RefSeq, a predicted model, not a curated record